Molecule: ribosomal RNA, 465 nt
Filed under: uncultured bacterium
Lineage: Bacteria
Description: partial 16S ribosomal RNA
Rfam family: Bacterial small subunit ribosomal RNA
Source: RNAcentral
CUACGGGGCGCUGCAGUGAGGAAUUUUGCGCAAUGGGGGGAACCCUGACGCAGCAACGCCGCGUGAGUGAUGAAGGCUUUCGGGUCGUAAAGCUCUGUCAAGUGGGAAGAACCUAUGCAGUGUUAAUAUCACUGUAUACUGACGGUACCACUGAAGGAAGCACCGGCUAACUCCGUGCCAGCAGCCGCGGUAAUACGGGGGGUGCAAGCGUUAUUCGGAUUCAUUGGGCGUAAAGGGCACGUAGGCGGCUUGGUAAGUCAGAUGUGAAAGCCCGGGGCUUAACCCCGGAAGUGCAUUUGAUACUGUCAGGCUUGAGUAUGGGAGAGGGAAGUGGAAUUCCUGGUGUAGGGGUGAAAUUCGUAGAUAUCAGGAGGAACACCGGUGGCGAAGGCGACUUCCUGGACCAAUACUGACGCUGAGGUGCGAAGGCGUGGGUAGCAAACAGGAUUAGAUACCCUAGUAGUC